GCGAUAGUUCAGUCGAUAGAGCGUGAGAUUCUUAAUCUCAGGGCCAUGAUUUGAGCCCCAUAUUGGGCA
Molecule: non-coding RNA, 69 nt
Organism: Podarcis lilfordi (Lilford's wall lizard)
Lineage: Eukaryota; Metazoa; Chordata; Lepidosauria; Squamata; Lacertidae
Source: the annotation of a GenBank genome assembly